GCUGGUCCCAGACAGC
RNAcentral lists this unclassified non-coding RNA (16 nucleotides) under synthetic construct. The record is from RNAcentral.